Long non-coding RNA from Hemibagrus wyckioides, 3406 nucleotides. RefSeq lists it as uncharacterized. The record is from RefSeq and is a predicted model, not a curated record. The transcript is spliced from 2 exons. NCBI's taxonomy places the organism in Eukaryota, Metazoa, Chordata, Actinopteri, Siluriformes, Bagridae.
GAAUGUUAUUGUUUACCAAUGUUGUUUUAUUGAUCCAGUAAGGGCGGAAGUUCCUGCUGUAAUUGCAAAGCAAACCGGCUUUUUGUGCAUGAAUACUGAAGCUUGCGCUUCACUACAGGCUUUACAGGCUUAUAAUGUCUGGAUCGGGCUGCCAUCUAGCGUACAGUAGCUAGACAAUUACAGGGAAACAGGAGUGAAUAAUUUAUUGUUAGCGGGCAUUUCUCAAAAGAUUACUUAGGGAUUUUUUUAAAUAGCAUUAAUGAAAAUUGCUUUAUUUAUGUAUUUUCUUUUAAAAAGCACCGGGUGCAUUUUCUGGCAACUCAGAUCAACGCUAUUGCCUUGGGUAAAAUAAGUUAUUCAGAACAUUUGGCAUAAGUUCGAAAUGAGCGAUUAUUAGUUUGGAAGAAUUAUUUUAAAAUAUUUUGUUUAUCUGAUUUAUAUUGUGUAAAUAGCAGUAUUUAGAUCAUACUAUAUAUAGAACCUCAUGUAAACGCGUAUACCGACAAAUUACAGCGAAACACUAUUUCGGAAGUUAGACAUUAAAGAGGAUCAAAACCUCGCGACGCGGCUGUUUUGGUCAAAGAGUGUUUGCGCCGAGUUUCCCUUCGUCUCUUCUGUAAGCGUUCCGCAAACGCACCGCGCUGCCCUCUGUCCUCUGGAAAAAAAAGGUGAAACGAACGGGAUUAAAUCAGACAAAGGGCAAACUUCUGUAAGUGUAUCAUCAAGAUUUUACUCGACAGACUAGGAAGAGAGCGAGGGAGAGGCAAGAGAGAGGGAGAGGGGCAGCGAAUGGGAACACAAGGCGAAGGCAGGGAAACAGCGAGCGAGAGGAAGAGAAGAGGGAGAAGUGGACACCGCUGCACAGAGACGCCGCUACACUGCAACACCGUGCCUUGAACUCCGCUCCUAGGUUUGGCUAACAAUGAAACUUGAGCAGCUGCAGGUAUGUCUAUACACACAUGCCCACACACACUGCAAUAAUAUCAUAAUAAUAUCAGCAACAUAAUACCACUGUUUAUGCAGUAUAGGAGAUUUUUUUGCCAAGGGGCUGCUAUAUUUCUCAUCCAUUUCUUCAAUGCGAGCGUUAAUUUUCACCUGGCGACUUAUAUAGAAGAGCGUAAUUGAAUUACAUUAAAGUAUUGUCUGCUGUAUAACAUUUCUGUGUGUAUUUAAAUUGUAUUUUGUGAGUUUAUGUAUAACGACACAAUGUUACUGCACUGAUUAAAAAAAAAAAAGGCAGCCUAUGUUCUUGACAGGUGGGCCCAUCUCGCUGCUCUUGCAUUGGUCUUAACCACUGAAUGUCUACGGAUUGAGAGGAGCAGUUGAGAAUGUCGGUUUUCCAUCUUUGUCCAUCUUGUCAAUAUUUGAGUGAAAUCGUCCCUCAUCAUUACUGCCAUGCUGAAAUGUCAUUUUUUGACAAAGCACUUGACUAAGUGUGGGCUUUUGGACACACUUUCUGUCAUUCUUCGCAUCUGGCGGGCAGAUGAUGGAAUUUGUUCAUGAAAGCAUGUGUGUCCACCCAUACGUUCUGUUCCUGCCUCUCAUUUCAGCAUGUUCUUCAGCAUGAAUAUGGAAAGCUGUGGUCACAUGGCUUAAUGACAGCUCUGUUAGUUGCCGCCUGUCUCUUAUGAAAAUGCACCGACCUCAUUAACACAAUCAAUAGCUAUGACUGUAAUUGUUUAUAAAGAUAACAUGAACUCAAGAAUGCUUGCUUAGACAUACAUUAAAUAUGUUGUAAUGGGAAUAAUUGUAAAUAUUUUGUGUGAGUCACUGCUUUGUAAAAGCUCUACUUGUGCUCUCUUAAUGUUCUGUUUUAUCUGUCUGCCAUCUCAGACAUUCUUCCAGCAGUGUAUAUGCGGAGGUCAUAAAAUUGGAGCUCGGAGUGGAUUGAUAAAAUGGCAGACAGUGGAAGAGUUCACACACAUUCAGAAAAAUGUAAAAUAUUGAGCCUUUAACAGUUCUUUCCUCCAAGGGAACCAUUAAAAAGAAACUCUUUUGGAACAGUUUGAAACUCCUUUGCUAUCCUAUGACUAAAACCUUUCGGAGGCCGAGAACCAUAUUAAUAACCAGUAAAGACACACACACUGAAAAACAAACACAGGAAGUGCUAUGCCUACAUCUCUGUUUAUGCUCUGUCCUUCUCUUACACUGUACAAUGUGUGUGUCCUCUUUCACCUCUCUCUAUCAGCUCUAUCAGAUCUGAGGAGGAAAGAAUGCAGCAGUCAUUCCUAAACACACACAUUCCUCUAGGCUAGCUUUAUAAUAUCCCAGUCUGAAACAUGCAUCACAACUUUAAUUUCAUGUGAAAUAAAAAAAAGAAAAUGCACAAAAUGUAUUCACAGUUGUGUUUUCCUCAGGCUUCCUGCGUUAUAUUGGGAAAUGUGUUAUUAAAUGUAUUAAGUGUCUUGAAUACUUGUGUAGAGACACAUAAACUAUGUAAACUAUAUACAUAAACAACUAUAAUGUAACUAUGAUCUAUGAUGUAAAUACUGACCAUGUGUAUACUGUUCCAGCUGGAUUUACACUGCUCAGUACAUAUAUAUAUAUAUAUAUAUAUAUAUAUAUAUAUAUAUAUAUAUAUAUGAAGUAGACAAGUGUAUACUGACAUCAUGUCUGUCUCAUGUGAAACAGGAGAAGGUAAUUUUUCUGUUACUGAUUCUAUCUGUAUGUACAUAACAACUCUGGGAAUGUUUUUUUCUGUCUAGUGUCUGUGUAGUCUUAGGUAGAAAUGCCUAUAAUAUAGUAACUGUAUUCAGCAGUAACUUGAAUCAUUUUCCUAAAGGCAAAAGAAAGUCAACACUAUAAAGAAAAAAUAGAUAGAAAAAACAAUAGAAUUUAAAAAAAGCAAAAGAAAGCAAGUAAGAAUAAAGAUAAAUGAACUCAGCCACAUCUUUUAUUAUCCUAAUCAUGACUGCACAGUAUGUGGCUGCUAAAUAUCUCCUCAUAUUCCAAAAUGAUAAUUGGCUUACUUAAUGUUCACUGUUAUCAUUUGAUGCUAAUGUCAUGUCUGACAGAGCAUCGAGGUUGGUCCCUUGUUGUGUCCUGCACUUUUCCUUCUAGGUAUUUGCGAUUCACCCAUGCCAGCGUGAACAAAAGCUGUGCCUCUUCAUCUAUCAGAGCAUGGUUAAAGGUAAGUGGCACCCCCUAUUAGGAUGACAAGGAAAUUAAUGUGUGUCCCCUGGUUCUGUAUUACUUAUUUAUAGGUUAACACCUUUUCCUUGCUUUGGGCAUGUCUGUAACAAUUUUUGAGAGCACAGGUGAACACCAUAUACACCUGAGACACAACUGGCAUGAAAGCAGAUAUACAGUGUAUUGUUAAUCUCUAAAAUAUGACUGAGUCUUUGGUGCAGGUGUACAGGAGGAAACAUCAUGUAUUUGAAUGAAAUAAAUUGACCACAUGCAUGUA